AGCUUUGUGGAAGUUACCUGUGGAGCUGAUGUUUAGGCCAAGGUCACUUACACUGUAAGAUGAUUGAUGUCAACAUCAACUACAUUGCCUUUUAUUCAUAUGGGAACCACAAGAGACGCAUAGCUACACGUAACCUAUGGGAAUCACAUUUGAAAAGAAUUGGAGAGCAGCAGAGAGCAGAGCAGAGCAGCUUGAAUACCAUUGAAAGCACCUCACCAGGCACCACGUCUGUCUGCUAGUCCAGAUCGCCCGCUGGUCCGACGACCGCCUCCUCUGGCCUGUGGUGGUUCUGACUGGGCUAGACCACUACUGGACCACCAACAACCUGGGUCAUGUUCCCGGUCCGACUGAGACCACUUUUCUCUGGGGUGAAGUUAGAGAUCUAGGAUCAGCUUCCCGGGCUCCCCCAAUCCUGACCGUAGCCAUUAGUGGGCAAAAUGCUAAACUCACCCAGCAUCUCCAUCUAGGGGCAACUUCACCCUACACCAUGAGGACUCCAUGCUGGGAUCUAAAGAUUGUGCUCUUAGUGGUCGUCUCUCUGCUGUGGAUAGUGGCCCUGCUCUAUGUGUUCCUAGUGUCUGGGGGUCAUUCUAGUGUUGGGGAACCAGUCUCCUCACCAGCUGCAUCAGUGCUGGGUGUUCACUAGCGCUCGUACCUCAGUUGGCCAAAGUGCUGCUACUGACUGUGGCCUGUGCAGUGCUGUAUGUUCAUAGCCACACAGGGUCUCCUAUGGGUAUCCACAGGGGUGGAAGGAUGCUCACAUGGAUUCAUCCUGCAUUUUGGAGUCACAGUGGCUGGCGGUGCAGAGUAGAGGUGUUUCGCCAGGUGUUGUGGAUUUUCCUCAGAGUGGGCUCUGUUCCUGGUAUUCCUUCCUGCGUCUGGUCUUCCAAAUUGGGAUCCCUGGAUACCUG
RNAcentral lists this long non-coding RNA (911 nucleotides) under Salmo salar (Atlantic salmon). RNAcentral's name for it is "lncRNA (ENSSSAG00000113828.1, ENSSSAG00075015151.1)". Lineage: Eukaryota; Metazoa; Chordata; Actinopteri; Salmoniformes; Salmonidae. The record is from RNAcentral.